RNAcentral lists this ribosomal RNA (301 nucleotides) under uncultured bacterium. RNAcentral's name for it is "partial 16S ribosomal RNA". It matches the Rfam family "Bacterial small subunit ribosomal RNA", at positions 509 to 808 of the family's 1533-position model. The record is from RNAcentral.
CAGCCGCCGCGGUAAUCCGUAGGUGGCAAGCGUUGUCCGGAAUUAUUGGGCGUAAAGGGCUCGCAGGCGGUUUCUUAAGUCUGAUGUGAAAGGUUCACGGCUCAACCGGAACAGUGCCUUGGAUACUGGGAGACUUGAAUCUGGCAGAGGAUAGUGGAAUUCCUGGUGUAGCGGUGAAAUGCGUAGAUAUCAGGAGGAACACCGAUGGCGAAGGCAGCUAUCUGGGCUAAGAUUGACGCUGAGGUGCGAAAGCGUGGGGAGCAAACGGGAUUAGAGACCCCCGUAGUCCCUGUCUCUUAUA